Molecule: ribosomal RNA, 578 nt
Filed under: uncultured fungus
Lineage: Eukaryota; Fungi
Description: eukaryotic LSU rRNA
Rfam family: 5.8S ribosomal RNA (bases 227-380)
Source: RNAcentral
AAGUCGUAACAAGGUUUCCGUAGGUGAACCUGCGGAAGGAUCAUUAAAGAGUAUGGGUGCUCAGCGCCCGACCUCCAACCCUUUGUUGUUAAAACUACCUUGUUGCUUUGGCGGGACCGCUCGGUCUCGAGCCGCUGGGGAUUCGUCCCAGGCGAGCGCCCGCCAGAGUUAAACCAAACUCUUGUUAUUUAACCGGUCGUCUGAGCUAAAAUUUUGAAUAAAUCAAAACUUUCAACAACGGAUCUCUUGGUUCUCGCAUCGAUGAAGAACGCAGCGAAAUGCGAUAAGUAAUGUGAAUUGCAGAAUUCAGUGAAUCAUCGAAUCUUUGAACGCACAUUGCGCCCCUUGGUAUUCCGAGGGGCAUGCCUGUUCGAGCGUCAUUACACCACUCAAGCUAUGCUUGGUAUUGGGUGCCGACCUUAGUUGGGCGCGCCUCAAAGACCUCGGCGAGGCCUCACCGGCUUUAGGCGUAGUAGAAUUUAUUCGAACGUCUGUCAAAGGAGAGGACUUCUGCCGACUGAAACCUUUUAUUUUUCUAGGUUGACCUCGGAUCAGGUAGGGAUACCCGCUGAACUUAA